Molecule: non-coding RNA, 74 nt
Organism: Lates calcarifer (barramundi perch)
Lineage: Eukaryota; Metazoa; Chordata; Actinopteri; Centropomidae
Source: the annotation of a RefSeq genome assembly
GGUGCUGUGGCUCAGCUGGUUAAAGCACCUGUCUUAAUAACAGGUGAUCCUGGGUUCAAAUCCCAGCAGUGCCU